Molecule: ribosomal RNA, 468 nt
Filed under: uncultured bacterium
Lineage: Bacteria
Description: partial 16S ribosomal RNA
Rfam family: Bacterial small subunit ribosomal RNA
Source: RNAcentral
GACGAACGCUGGCGGCGUGUUUAACACAUGCAAGUCGAACGGAAAGGCCCUGCUUUUGUGGGGUGCUCGAGUGGCGAACGGGUGAGUAACACGUGAGUAACCUGCCCUUGACUUUGGGAUAACUUCAGGAAACUGGGGCUAAUACCGGAUAGGAGCUCCUGCUGCAUGGUGGGGGUUGGAAAGUUUCGGCGGUUGGGGAUGGACUCGCGGCUUAUCAGCUUGUUGGUGGGGUAGUGGCUUACCAAGGCUUUGACGGGUAGCCGGCCUGAGAGGGUGACCGGCCACAUUGGGACUGAGAUACGGCCCAGACUCCUACGGGAGGCAGCAGUGGGGAAUAUUGCACAAUGGGCGGAAGCCUGAUGCAGCAACGCCGCGUGCGGGAUGACGGCCUUCGGGCUGUAAACCGCUUUCGCCUGUGACGAAGCGUGAGUGACGGUAAUGGGUAAAGAAGCACCGGCUAACUACGUG